RNAcentral lists this ribosomal RNA (465 nucleotides) under uncultured Pseudomonadaceae bacterium. RNAcentral describes it as "bacterial SSU rRNA". It matches the Rfam family "Bacterial small subunit ribosomal RNA", at positions 338 to 795 of the family's 1533-position model. Lineage: Bacteria; Pseudomonadati; Pseudomonadota; Gammaproteobacteria; Pseudomonadales; Pseudomonadaceae. The record is from RNAcentral.
CCUACGAGAGGCAGCAGUGGGGAAUAUUGGACAAUGGGCGAAAGCCUGAUCCAGCCAUGCCGCGUGUGUGAAGAAGGUCUUCGGAUUGUAAAGCACUUUAAGUUGGGAGGAAGGGCAGUAAGUUAAUACCUUGCUGUUUUGACGUUACCGACAGAAUAAGCACCGGCUAACUUCGUGCCAGCAGCCGCGGUAAUACGAAGGGUGCAAGCGUUAAUCGGAAUUACUGGGCGUAAAGCGCGCGUAGGUGGUUUGUUAAGUUGGAUGUGAAAGCCCCGGGCUCAACCUGGGAACUGCAUCCAAAACUGGCAAGCUAGAGUAUGGCAGAGGGUGGUGGAAUUGCCUGUGUAGCGGUGAAAUGCGUAGAUAUAGGAAGGAACACCAGUGGCGAAGGCGACCACCUGGGCUAAUACUGACACUGAGGUGCGAAAGCGUGGGGAGCAAACAGGAUUAGAUACCCGUGUAGUC